AUGUCGUUGAAGGUUUUAUGCUGGAAGGUGAGGGGGCUCAAUAACCCUACUAGGCGCUCGUCAGUUAGGCUUUUUAUGCAAUCUUGUAAUGUUGCCCUUGCUUGUUUACAAGAAUCUAAGCUUGAGGUGGUGGAUGCAGCAGUGGUCUGCCAGGUUCUUGGUUCUGGGUUCGAUGACUUUGAUUUUCUGCCGGAUGUGGGCACUCAUGGGGGAAUACUGAUGGCUUGCAAACCG
This 234-nucleotide ribosomal RNA is filed under the name Triticum aestivum (bread wheat). Its description in RNAcentral is "partial small subunit ribosomal RNA". The record is from RNAcentral. Lineage: Eukaryota; Viridiplantae; Streptophyta; Magnoliopsida; Poales; Poaceae.